CUUCGCCCCGCCUCUGCGCGCGCAGGGUGAGCCUGGGGCCCCAGCGUUUAGGGGAGCGGAGGGGCCUGGGCCUGCCUCCCCUACAUUCUCGCUCAGCGCCCCCUCACCUCCGCAGAUGACCUGACACUCCGCCGGCGCCCCCUUAAAGCCUGGAACGAGUCUGACCUGGACGUGGCCUACGAGAAGAAAUCUCAGACCGCCAGCUAUGAACGCCUGGACAUCUUCACGCGGCCCGCCUCGCCGGGCCUGCAGCUGCUGCCCUGGAGAGAGAGCAGCCUGGAUGGGCUGGGGGCGUCAGGAAAGGUGAGCAGUGUGGCCUGGACCCCGGUCCUUCCUUCCUGCUUUCCCAUUGACUUCUGCUCCUGGGCACUCCAGUAGUGAGUGCGCGCUCUCUCUCCUUCUCACUGUCUCUCCCUCUCUCCCUCUCUUUGGACAGGGUCUGACUAUAUAGUUAAGGCUGGCCUGAAUUCUGCUGUGAUCCUCCUGCCUCAGCCUCCUGAGAGCUGGGAUUAUAGGCACGAGUACCACACUCUACCCUUCCCACGUCUGCUCUUCCCUCUCUCCCUCCUGAGCCCCUUCUAACUUCCCUCUCCUCCCCCAGGACAAUCUCACGAGCGCCACUUUGCCCCGCAAUUACAAGGUCUCACCUCUGGCCAAUGACAGGCGCUCGGAUGGGGGCAGCUACCGCCGCUCGCUGGGCUCCGCCGCCGCAGGGCCAUCGGGCACCCUGCCCCGCAGCU
Molecule: long non-coding RNA, 740 nt
Organism: Fukomys damarensis (Damara mole-rat)
Lineage: Eukaryota; Metazoa; Chordata; Mammalia; Rodentia; Bathyergidae
Source: Ensembl